UCCGGUUUGUCACCGGCAGUCUCAUUAGAGUGCCCAACUGAAUGUAGCAACUAAUGACAAGGGUUGCGCUCGUUGCGGGACUUAACCCAACAUCUCACGACACGAGCUGACGACAGCCAUGCAGCACCUCUCACUACAUUUCCUUGCGGACACCCCAAACAUUACUUCGGGUUCGUAGGAGUUCAAGCCUAGGUAAGGUUCUGCGCGUUGCUUCGAAUUAAACCACAUAAUCCACCGCUUGUGCGGGCCCCCGUCAAUUUGUUUGAGUUUUAGUCUUGCGACCGUACUCCCCAGGCGGAGAACUUAAUGCGUUAGCUGCGUCACUGAGGGAGUCAAUACCCCCAAUAACUAGUUCUCAUCGUUUACGGCGUGGACUAC
Molecule: unclassified non-coding RNA, 378 nt
Filed under: uncultured delta proteobacterium
Lineage: Bacteria; Deltaproteobacteria
Description: contains 16S-23S intergenic spacer region
Source: RNAcentral